Molecule: ribosomal RNA, 252 nt
Filed under: uncultured bacterium
Lineage: Bacteria
Description: partial 16S ribosomal RNA
Rfam family: Bacterial small subunit ribosomal RNA
Source: RNAcentral
UACGUAGGGUGCGAGCGUUGUCCGGAAUUAUUGGGCGUAAAGGGCUCGUAGGCGGUUUGUCGCGUCGGGAGUGAAAACGCCGUGCUUAACACGGCGCUUGCUUCGAUACGGGCAGACUAGAGGUAUGCAGGGGAGAACGGAAUUCCCGGUGUAGUGGUGAAAUGCGUAGAGAUCCGGAAGAACACCGGUGGCGAAGGCGGUCUGCUGGGCAGUAGCUGACACUGAGGCGCGACAGCGUGGGGAGCAAACAGG